This is a non-coding RNA of Aedes aegypti (yellow fever mosquito), 69 nucleotides long. The record is from Rfam. Lineage: Eukaryota; Metazoa; Arthropoda; Insecta; Diptera; Culicidae.
GGGUCUGUAGCAUUAAGGUUAGGCUUUCGCUUCAUAAGCGGAAGGUCAUGGGUUCGAUUCCCAGCCCCU